Molecule: ribosomal RNA, 798 nt
Filed under: uncultured Pelagibacteraceae bacterium
Lineage: Bacteria; Pseudomonadati; Pseudomonadota; Alphaproteobacteria; Candidatus Pelagibacterales; Candidatus Pelagibacteraceae
Description: bacterial SSU rRNA
Rfam family: Bacterial small subunit ribosomal RNA
Source: RNAcentral
CGCUGGCGGCACGCCUAAUACAUGCAAGUCGAACGCAGUAGCAAUACUGAGUGGCGAACGGGUGAGUAUAAUGUAGGUAUCUGCCUUUUGGUUUGGAAUAACACGAGGAAACUUGUGCUAAUACCGGAUAAGCCUUUACAGGGAAAGUUUUAACGCCGAAAGAUGAGCCUGCACUUGAUUAGCUUGUUGGUAAGGUAAUGGCUUACCAAGGCUACGAUCAAUAGCUGAUCUGAGAGGAUGAUCAGCCACAUUGGGACUGAGACACGGCCCAAACUCCUACGGGAGGCAGCAGUAGGGAAUCUUGCACAAUGGAGGAAACUCUGAUGCAGCGAUGCCGCGUGAGUGAAGAAGGCCUUUGGGUUGUAAAGCUCUUUCGUCGGGGAAGAAAAUGACUGUACCCGAAUAAGAAGGUCCGGCUAACUUCGUGCCAGCAGCCGCGGUAAUACGAAGGGACCUAGCGUAGUUCGGAAUUACUGGGCUUAAAGAGCACGUAGGUGGUUAGAAAAGUUGGUGGUGAAAUCCCAGAGCUUAACUCUGGAACUGCCACCAAAACUUUUUGACUAGAGUAUGAUAGAGGUAAGCGGAAUUUCUAGUGUAGAGGUGAAAUUCGUAGAUAUUAGAAAGAACACCAAUUGCGAAGGCAGCUUUCUGGAUCAUUACUGACACUGAGGUGCGAAAGCAUGGGUAGCGAAGAGGAUUAGAUACCCUCGUAGUCCAUGCUGUAAACGAUGUGUGCUAGAUGUUGGGAAUUUUAUUCUCAGUGUCGCAGCAAAAGCGUUAAGCACACCGCCUGGGGAG